AUGAAAGCGAUGAAGAAUCGAGUAUGUUGCAGUCCAUCUUAAAAGAGAGGGGCUUCCGAGGCUGAAAGAAGCUCUAGAUGAAGGGCAACAGAACGCUAAUUCUGAGUGCAGGCAAAACCUGACGAAAAUGCCACGUUACGGCAAAUGAAGGUGAUGAGCAAUUGGCUCAUAAUCAGGGUGGUACCGCGAGUAACUCUCGUCCCUGUG
Molecule: non-coding RNA, 207 nt
Filed under: Aeribacillus pallidus
Lineage: Bacteria; Bacillati; Bacillota; Bacilli; Caryophanales; Bacillaceae
Description: T-box sequence
Rfam family: T-box leader
About the family: Uncharged tRNA acts as the effector for transcription antitermination of genes in the T-box leader family. T-boxes are found upstream of many aminoacyl-tRNA synthetase genes and some amino acid biosynthetic genes usually in Gram-positive bacteria. The anticodon of a specific tRNA base pairs to a specifier sequence within the T-box motif, and the NCCA acceptor tail of the tRNA base pairs to a conserved bulge in the T-box antiterminator hairpin.
Source: RNAcentral